Molecule: ribosomal RNA, 308 nt
Filed under: uncultured soil bacterium
Lineage: Bacteria
Description: bacterial SSU rRNA
Rfam family: Bacterial small subunit ribosomal RNA
Source: RNAcentral
AGAACGAACGCUGGCGGCAUGCCUAAUACAUGCAAGUCGAACGAAGGCUUCGGCCUUAGUGGCGCACGGGUGCGUAACGCGUGGGAAUCUGCCCCUUGGUUCGGAAUAACAGUUGGAAACGACUGCUAAUACCGGAUGAUGACGAAAGUCCAAAGAUUUAUCGCCAAGGGAUGAGCCCGCGUAGGAUUAGCUAGUUGGUGAGGUAAAGGCUCACCAAGGCGACGAUCCUUAGCUGGUCUGAGAGGAUGAUCAGCCGCACUGGGACUGAGACACGGCCCAGACUCCUACGGGAGCAGCAGUAGGGAAUA